CAAGCGUUUAAGAGCAUUUGAUGGAUGCCUUGGCACACAAAGGCGAUGAAGGACGUAGUACGUUGCGAUAAGCUUCGGGGAGUGACGAACACACUUUGAUCCGAAGAUUUCC
RNAcentral lists this ribosomal RNA (112 nucleotides) under uncultured marine alpha proteobacterium. RNAcentral describes it as "partial 23S ribosomal RNA". It matches the Rfam family "Bacterial large subunit ribosomal RNA", at positions 4 to 115 of the family's 2925-position model. Lineage: Bacteria; Pseudomonadati; Pseudomonadota; Alphaproteobacteria. The record is from RNAcentral.